This 700-nucleotide ribosomal RNA is filed under the name uncultured bacterium. RNAcentral describes it as "bacterial SSU rRNA". It matches the Rfam family "Bacterial small subunit ribosomal RNA", at positions 208 to 918 of the family's 1533-position model. The record is from RNAcentral.
GACCUUCGGGCCUCGCGCUAUUAGAUGAGCCUAGGUCGGAUUAGUUAGUUGGUGAGGUAAUGGCUUACCAAGACUAUGACGCUUAACUGGUUUGAGAGGAUGAUCAGUCACACUGGAACUGAGACACGGUCCAGACUCCUACGGGAGGCAGCAGUGGGGAAUAUUGCACAAUGGACGAAAGUCUGAUGCAGCAACGCCGCGUGGAGGAUGACACAUUUCGGUGCGUAAACUCCUUUUAUAUGAGAAGAUAAUGACGGUAUCAUAUGAAUAAGCACCGGCUAACUCCGUGCCAGCAGCCGCGGUAAUACGGGGGGUGCAAGCGUUACUCGGAAUCACUGGGCGUAAAGAGCAUGUAGGCGGAUUGAUAAGUUUGAAGUGAAAUCCUAUAGUUUAACUAURGAACUGCUUUGAAAACUGCUAAUCUAGAAUGUGGGAGAGGUAGAUGGAAUUUCUGGUGUAGGGGUAAAAUCCGUAGAGAUCAGAAGGAAUACCGAUUGCGAAGGCGAUCUACUGGAACACUAUUGACGCUGAGAUGCGAAAGCGUGGGGAGCAAACGGGAUUAGAUACCCCGGUAGUCCACGCCCUAAACGAUGCACACUAGUUGUUGUGAGGCUAGACCUUGCAGUAAUGCAGUUAACACAUUAAGUGUGCCGCCUGGGGAGUACGGCCGCAAGAUUAAAACUCAAAUGAAUAGACGGGG